Molecule: unclassified non-coding RNA, 152 nt
Filed under: soil metagenome
Description: partial internal transcribed spacer 1
Source: RNAcentral
ACGAGUUAGGGCCUCCGUGCCCGACCUCCAACCCUCUUGUAUCACAAAACCUCGUUGCCCUCGGGGGUGGCCCUGCCUCGCGGCGGGCCCCCCGGAGGACCACUCAAACACUGCAUUUUAGUGUCGUCUGAGUUAGAUUUUAAAUGAAAUCA